GAUGAACGCUGGCGGCGUGCCUAAUACAUGCAAGUCGAGCGAACAGACGAGGAGCUUGCUCCUCUGACGUUAGCGGCGGACGGGUGAGUAACACGUGGAUAACCUACCUAUAAGACUGGGAUAACUUCGGGAAACCGGAGCUAAUACCGGAUAAUAUAUUGAACCGCAUGGUUCAAUAGUGAAAGACGGUUUUGCUGUCACUUAUAGAUGGAUCCGCGCCGCAUUAGCUAGUUGGUAAGGUAACGGCUUACCAAGGCGACGAUGCGUAGCCGACCUGAGAGGGUGUUCGGCCACACUGGAACUGAGACACGGUCCAGACUCCUACGGGAGGCAGCAGUAGGGAAUCUUCCGCGAUGGGCGGAAGCCUGACGGAGCAACGCCGCGUGAGUGAUGAAGGUCUUCGGAUCGUAAAACUCUGUUAUUAGUGAAGAACAAAUGUGUAAGUAACUAUGCACGUCUUGACGGUACCUAAUCAGAAAGCCACGGCUAACUACGUG
This 497-nucleotide ribosomal RNA is filed under the name uncultured bacterium. RNAcentral describes it as "partial 16S ribosomal RNA". It matches the Rfam family "Bacterial small subunit ribosomal RNA", at positions 28 to 507 of the family's 1533-position model. The record is from RNAcentral.